This is a non-coding RNA of Salmo salar (Atlantic salmon), 590 nucleotides long. The record is from RefSeq and is a predicted model, not a curated record. NCBI's taxonomy places the organism in Eukaryota, Metazoa, Chordata, Actinopteri, Salmoniformes, Salmonidae.
CAGAUCUCCAGGCUCAAAGCGUCAGUCCACCAGCUGAACUCUCAGUCAGACUGGUGGAUGGGACCACUUCCUGUUCUGGGACAGUGGAAGUCUUCUACAGAGGAGAGUGGUUGGGUCUAUGUACUGUGUUGUGGAGAAUGAUGAGAGAGGUUAAGGUUGUGUGUAGAGAGAUGGACUGUGGGAAUCCUGUAUCUGAAUCUAGAGGACCUCUGGCUGAAGAUGGAAGAAGAGGAGUCACACUAUUGAGAUGUAGUGGAGAUGAGUCUUCUAUUAGACAGUGUGGCUUCAUAGGAGAACCUGGUGUCUGUAUUGGUGAAUAUUAUCAUCAUGUGACCUGUUCAGGUAAGAGACUGGUCAUAUUGAGAGAUUUAUUUAUACAUUAUACAAUAUUACCAUGUAUCAUGUUUUAUGUGUUUUUAUUUCAUUUAAAUAGAGGGAGAUGUCAGAUGUAUUUAAACAUUAUAUUUGUGUUUGUCAUAUUGGUUUAUGGGAGAUGUUCAUGGGCAGAUCAUUGUAGUUCAGAUGGUACUGAAGUGAAGCUGCCUGAUGGAUGUCCAGCUGUUUAUUUUCUAUAAAGUGAAGUGAACUUA